GAUGAACGCUGGCGGCGUGCUUAACACAUGCAAGUCGAACGGAAAGGCCUCAGCUUGCUGGGGUACUCGAGUGGCGAACGGGUGAGUAACACGUGGGUGAUCUGCCCUGCACUUUGGGAUAAGCUUGGGAAACUGGGUCUAAUACCGAAUAUGACCACUUCUUGGAUGUUGUGGUGGAAAGCUUUUGCGGUGUGGGAUGAGCCUGCGGCCUAUCAGCUUGUUGGUGGGGUAAUGGCCUACCAAGGCGGCGACGGGUAUCCGGCCUGAGAGGGUGUACGGACACAUUGGGACUGAGAUACGGCCCAGACUCCUACGGGAGGCAGCAGUGGGGAAUAUUGCACAAUGGGCGCAAGCCUGAUGCAGCGACGCUGCGUGGGGGAUGAAGGCCUACGGGUUGUAAACUCCUUUCGCUAUCGACGAAGCCACUUGUGGUGACGGUAGGUAGAUAAGAAGCACCGGCUAACUACGUGCCAGCAGCCGCCGUAA
This 486-nucleotide ribosomal RNA is filed under the name uncultured bacterium. Its description in RNAcentral is "partial 16S ribosomal RNA". It matches the Rfam family "Bacterial small subunit ribosomal RNA", at positions 28 to 523 of the family's 1533-position model. The record is from RNAcentral.